CCAAGCGGCUCACACUUGCACAAUGACAGCAGACAAUGUGUUUUGAAUUUUCCCUCUGCAUAAAGAGGGACUGACCUAGCAGCCUGAAGAGGCGCUGGCUUAAUGACAGCACUGAGGAGCAUCUCCCUAGCACUCUUCCCCUGUCAGCAGCCAGACGGCAACCAACCAUGUUCCCGUGGCUUCUGCAGUGCACUCCAGCGAGUGCAGCCGUUACGCAGGUCCGCCAGUGACUGGCAGCACGCAAACUUCCCGAGAGGCAAUGUCAUGUUAGGAUUCCUGUUAAGAGCCUAGGGAGACCACUAACCAGGAAAAGGAGUAGGAAGAUGCUGUAAGAAGCAGAUACCUGACAGAGAUGGAGAAGUCACCAUGAGAGUUCUGACUGGCUCGGACAAUGAAGGAACCAAUUCCUUUGCUCAUAAGGUUGUUCUCUGCUUCGUGGCGGGAUAUCCUCUCAUCAAACCAGCUGUUAAGUGGGAAAAAAUCAAGGAAACUUGAAUAAGGAGUUGAACUAAGGUAAGGAAUAGAAAAGCUGAGGGUAGGGAGAAUAUGAAAAAGCAGGGUGGAGGAAAGAAAAAAGAAACAGAUCAGAGGAUCCUACAUGAAUAUUCACGCUGGCCACAUACAUACUAAGGUACAGGGUUAUGAUGGAUGCAGACCAUUUUCUCUGAGCAAUAAAAGCACAUAGGUGCAAAGAGAACAAUGUAAGCUUUGGCCUAUUAAGAAGCAACACUCAGCUAAAAGUCUAAUUACAGGCAGAGUACAGUAAAGUGUUAAAGCAAUUUUAAAUUACAAAUGUGCAUGUAUAUACACAUACACAUAUCAUUCUCAGACAUAUACAUCAAAUAGCUUUUGGUAAACUGAUUGAAAAUUACUGGACUGUGAUGGAUGUAUUGCACGGAACAAACAUAAAUUUUUAAUAGAAGCGAGGCAUGAAAGUUUCACUGCUAAUAAAUUGACUCUUGCAAGAGUUAUAAUACCAUGAAAAUCACAGAAACACAGAAUGUAUAAGCAUUUAUGUAAAUUUAGCCAGACAGAACAAACUGCUAGUAUAAGUCACUGGGCAUAUAAUGAAGAAAGUCACCAUAAAUGGUAAAAUAAUACAGUGGCAAAUGCAACUUGUAAGUUGAGAAAAAAAAUCAU
This is a long non-coding RNA of Dromaius novaehollandiae (emu), 1140 nucleotides long. RefSeq lists it as uncharacterized. The transcript has 3 exons. Lineage: Eukaryota; Metazoa; Chordata; Aves; Casuariiformes; Dromaiidae. The record is from RefSeq and is a predicted model, not a curated record.